GACGAACGCUGGCGGCGUGCCUAAUACAUGCAAGUAGAACGCUGAAGGAGGAGCUUGCUCUUCUGGAUGAGUUGCGAACGGGUGAGUAACGCGUAGGUAACCUGCCUGGUAGCGGGGGAUAACUAUUGGAAACGAUAGCUAAUACCGCAUAAGAGUAGAUGUUGCAUGACAUUUGCUUAAAAGGUGCAAUUGCAUCACUACCAGAUGGCCCUGCGUUGUAUUAGCUAGUUGUUGGGGUAACGGCUCACCAAGGCGACGAUACAUAGCCGACCUGAGAGGGUGAUCGGCCACACUGGGACUGAGACACGGCCCAGACUCCUACGGGAGGCAGCAGUAGGGGAUCUUCGGCAAUGGACGGAAGUCUGACCGAGCAACGCCGCGUGAGUGAAGAAGGUUUUCGGAUCGUAAAGCUCUGUUGUAAGAGAAGAACGAGUGUGAGAGUGGAAAGUUCACACUGUGACGGUAUCUUACCAGAAAGGGACGGCUAACUACGUG
RNAcentral lists this ribosomal RNA (495 nucleotides) under uncultured bacterium. RNAcentral describes it as "partial 16S ribosomal RNA". It matches the Rfam family "Bacterial small subunit ribosomal RNA", at positions 28 to 507 of the family's 1533-position model. The record is from RNAcentral.